Molecule: ribosomal RNA, 254 nt
Filed under: uncultured bacterium
Lineage: Bacteria
Description: partial 16S ribosomal RNA
Rfam family: Bacterial small subunit ribosomal RNA
Source: RNAcentral
UACGUAGGGUGCGAGCGUUGUCCGGAAUUAUUGGGCGUAAAGAGCUCGUAGGCGGUGUGUCACGUCGGCCGUGAAAACCUGCAGCUUAACUGUGGGCGUGCGGUCGAUACGGGCAUCACUGGAGUUCGGCAGGGGAGACUGGAAUUCCUGGUGUAGCGGUGAAAUGCGCAGAUAUCUGGAGGAACACCGGUGGCGAAGGCGGCAUCCUGGACCAACACUGACACUGAGGAGCGAAAGCCAGGGGAGCAAACGGG